AACGAACGCUGGCGGCAGGCCUAACACAUGCAAGUCGAACGCACCGCAAGGUGAGUGGCGCACGGGUGAGUAACACGUGGGAAUGUACCCUUUGGUUCGGAAUAACGUUUGGAAACGAACGCUAAUACCGGAUGAGCCCUGCGGGGGAAAGAUUUAUCGCCAAAGGAGCAGCCCGCGUCUGAUUAGCUAGUUGGUGGGGUAAAGGCCUACCAAGGCGACGAUCAGUAGCUGGUCUGAGAGGAUGAUCAGCCACACUGGGACUGAGACACGGCCCAGACUCCUACGGGAGGCAGCAGUGGGGAAUAUUGGACAAUGGGCGAAAGCCUGAUCCAGCAAUGCCGCGUGAGUGAUGAAGGCCUUAGGGUUGUAAAGCUCUUUUACCCGAGAUGAUAAUGACAGUAUCGGGAGAAUAAGCUCCGGCUAACUCCGUGCCAGCAGCCGCGGUAAUGUGACUACUG
RNAcentral lists this ribosomal RNA (458 nucleotides) under uncultured bacterium. RNAcentral's name for it is "bacterial SSU rRNA". It matches the Rfam family "Bacterial small subunit ribosomal RNA", at positions 29 to 534 of the family's 1533-position model. The record is from RNAcentral.